Molecule: long non-coding RNA, 1494 nt
Organism: Bactrocera oleae (olive fruit fly)
Lineage: Eukaryota; Metazoa; Arthropoda; Insecta; Diptera; Tephritidae
Source: RefSeq, a predicted model, not a curated record
CUUUGACUUCGGUAAAUUAUAAAUACACACAAGAAAAUAGAGCUUUUCGCGGAUAUCGGUUUUAUUAGUAGGUUGGAAUAUUAUUAAAGUUCACUAAUAAAUAAACCCUCUUUAGUGUUUAGGCUUUAAGCAUUAUUAAGUUAUACUUAUGUGAGGUAUUUUUUAUACAAUUAAUUUUUUUUAUUAUUAUUGCAACCAAAUAGGUAUUUUAAGGUUUACUAAGAAUAAUUAAAAGUGUUUGACUUAUUUUGAUCCGUAUUUAGUAACUGAUAAGGUUCGAACGACAACUGACUAAAGACAUGACACUGGAAUAAGAAUAAGUCCAAUGUUUAGCGAGCAGAUAAGGCAGCUCAUUUUUGUUCACACAUAUACCAAUGUGUGUAUGAAGUAUAUACAGCUGUGUGAGUAUUCAUAUUCAUAUUCGUUUUUAUACAUACAUAUGAAUAUUUUCAACACCACAAAUGAAGAAUUGUGCAGUUCGUAGAUAAGUUGAAAAAGGAAGCAAUAUUUAUUUUGAAGUAUUAAAUAUGUCAAAUGUAUAAACCUUUACGAUGCCAUUGUGAUUCUGAUAGUGACGAAAAGUUAAAUGUUAACUACCCUGCAAACCUGACACCUAGAAUAUCUAAAGCAAGAAGAGAUUUUUUCGAAACAGCCCAGCUACACAUAUGUAUGUACAUAUUUUGUACUUGCGUGUAGGAACAAAAAAUCGAAUAGUCAAAUAAUAUUUUUCAAACAGUAUGUACGAGGCUAACUAAUCAGCCAACUAUCUAUGUAUGGUAUAUAAUGUUCCUACGAAACUGCGAUACGAGGUACGAAUCGGCCCAUAGUGGUUAGUUAUGCCAACAGGUAUAACUGUUUAAAAAUAUAUAAAACGUUCUAGGUUGGUUAUGCAGAAAAACCACUGGUAAAGUAAAAAACUUCAUUCGAAAAUCGUUAUAUAAUUAGUCAUCUAAUACUUUACCUUUAUCUAAUUGGAUUUCACAUGAGAACUGGUAUUUUUAAACCGUUAUAUAUCCUGAUUAAUUAAAUAUUUCACAGCAGGAAUAUACAUAUACGAGUACAUAUGUACAGCGUACCUACCUACUUUUACUCUCGCGCUUCCAUCAUCCUAAAUGCUAAAUGAAACAGUAUCUCUGGAAAUAUAUUUAAAAGCAACACAGAACGUAAAGAAGUCAUCACUUUGAACAAGUAAAAUAAGGGGACACAUCCAACCUUUGCACAGUGAUUUCGAUCAUAGGCCAAAAAUAAUAAUAAAAAUCAUGUUUAAAAAAAAAGCGGAAAAGUCAACAAAUUGUCUCUAAAAUGUCCAAACUUCUUAAUGGCAAACCGGUUUUUUCUGGAAAUCAGAAAGGACUUUCUUAAAAUAGCAUUGAAGCUCUGAUCACUUGUUCAUUUUUAAGAGGAGGUUCACGCAGAGUGAAUAUUUCACAACAAAAACGAAGUUUAAAGUGGUCAGGCGAUUUAUUACGUUUAUUAAUUUUAAUUAUUUUGAAG